UCAGUUUCGGUGCUAUUUACUAUAUAGUUUAAAAUUUUUAAAAUUUAUAUAAAUUUCUCGCUGCGUAGCGCGGGCCUUCACUAGUAUUCAUGAUUCAAUUAUUGAAUGUAGCUAGGUCCCAACUUAGUCCUAAUUUGACCAGAUCAACAUAUGCGAACCGACUAAAAGCGAGGCCGACUCACCAGCGUUUCUUCUCGUCGGCCAACAGCUAUAUAUGUGCCGGCCUGAUGCUUCUCGUGGUCGUAGAUGCGCCGGCGGACGACCGUCGUUCUUCUCUUCUGCCGACCACUAAGCGCCAAGCGAUUCAUCACCAGCUCUUCUCUUCCGCUGUCGGAUAACAAAGCGUCAAGCGGAUGAUCAGUGAAUCCUCCGUCCCACUGAUGGCAAAACGUCAGCAUCAUUGUUGUCGAUGUGUCGGCAGGUGGUCGCCGUCCUUCUCUUCCGCCUACGACUAAGCGCCAAGCAGAAGCUUAAGGCUUCAAGGCUCCUCCUUAAUUCGUGUAAUUCCCUUGUAUAUUUAUGGGCUGAUUUAAACUUUGGCCCAACAUAUGUGCCCUCACUUUUUAACAUUUCAUAGAAGCACCCACCGUACCUAGAGCAAGUGGC
Ananas comosus (pineapple) is the source of this 606-nucleotide long non-coding RNA. RefSeq lists it as uncharacterized. NCBI's taxonomy places the organism in Eukaryota, Viridiplantae, Streptophyta, Magnoliopsida, Poales, Bromeliaceae. The record is from RefSeq and is a predicted model, not a curated record. The transcript is spliced from 2 exons.